RNAcentral lists this transfer RNA (73 nucleotides) under Ixodes scapularis (black-legged tick). It matches the Rfam family "tRNA". From Rfam's summary of the family: Transfer RNA (tRNA) molecules are approximately 80 nucleotides in length. The record is from Rfam by way of RNAcentral. Lineage: Eukaryota; Metazoa; Arthropoda; Arachnida; Ixodida; Ixodidae.
UCCUGGUUAGCUCAGUUGGUAGAACGCUCCACUGGGAAUGGAGAGGUCCCUGGUUUAAUACCUGGACCGGGCA